GACGGGGGAUGCAAGCGUUAUCCGGAAUCACUGGGCGUAAAGCGUCUGUAGGUGGUGAUGCAAGUCACUGGUGCAAAACUCUGGCUCAACCGGAGGAAAGCCAGUGAAACUGCAUGACUAGAGUGUGGGAGAGGUAGAAGGAAUUCCCUGAGUAGCGGUGAAAUGCGUAGAUACAGGGAAGAACACCGGAGGCGAAAGCGUUCUACUGGAACACAACUGACACUGAGGUACGAAAGAUAGGGGAGCGAAUGGG
Molecule: ribosomal RNA, 253 nt
Filed under: uncultured bacterium
Lineage: Bacteria
Description: partial 16S ribosomal RNA
Rfam family: Bacterial small subunit ribosomal RNA
Source: RNAcentral